CAUACAAUAGUAUUGUGAUAACAAUAGAGCCAUUGCGAAAGCAAAGGAACUAAGGUCUCAUCAAUGAUCCAAACAUAUAUUAAGGCGGUGUAAUCUCAUCAAAGAGAUAAUACAUAGAAAUGACGUAAAGAGAAGAGCAAAUUUCCACGUUUAAUAAUAUUGCAGAUCCACUGACAAAGAGUUGUCGUAGUGUAAACAUGAUCGUCAUGUAGACUUAUGAUAUUUGAUACAUAAGUGAUUGGAUCUAGUGCAAGUGGGAGUUUGUAAGUAUUAUGCCCUAGGUCCAAUCAACUUUGGACAUAAAUACUUUUAUAUGUAAUUAAUGCAAUUAAAUGGCAG
Molecule: long non-coding RNA, 339 nt
Filed under: Olea europaea (common olive)
Lineage: Eukaryota; Viridiplantae; Streptophyta; Magnoliopsida; Lamiales; Oleaceae
Description: long non-coding RNA (OEUR_LNC012775)
Source: RNAcentral